UGAGAGGUUGAUCGGCCACAUUGGGACUGAGACACGGCCCAAACUCCUACGGGAGGCAGCAGUAGGGAAUCUUCCACAAUGGGCGAAAGCCUGAUGGAGCAACGCCGCGUGGGUGAAGAAGGUCUUCGGAUCGUAAAACCCUGUUGUUAGAGAAGAAAGUGCGUGAGAGUAACUGUUCACGUUUCGACGGUAUCUAACCAGAAAGCCACGGCUAACUACGUGCCAGCAGCCGCGGUAAUACGUAGGUGGCAAGCGUUAUCCGGAUUUAUUGGGCGUAAAGGGAACGCAGGCGGUCUUUUAAGUCUGAUGUGAAAGCCUUCGGCUUAACCGGAGUAGUGCAUUGGAAACUGGGAGACUUGAGUGCAGAAGAGGAGAGUGGAACUCCAUGUGUAGCGGUGAAAUGCGUAGAUAUAUGGAAGAACACCAGUGGCGAAAGCGGCUCUCUGGUCUGUAACUGACGCUGAGGUUCGAAAGCGUGGGUAGCAAACAGGAUUAGAUACCCUGGUAGUCCACGCCGUAAACGAUGAAUGCUAAGUGUUGGAGGGUUUCCGCCCUUCAGUGCUGCAGCUAACGCAAUAAGCAUUCCGCCUGGGGAGUACGACCGCAAGGUUGAAACUCAAAGGAAUUGACGGGGGCCCGCACAAGCGGUGGAG
This 653-nucleotide ribosomal RNA is filed under the name Campylobacter jejuni. RNAcentral describes it as "bacterial SSU rRNA". It matches the Rfam family "Bacterial small subunit ribosomal RNA", at positions 293 to 937 of the family's 1533-position model. Lineage: Bacteria; Pseudomonadati; Campylobacterota; Epsilonproteobacteria; Campylobacterales; Campylobacteraceae. The record is from RNAcentral.